This is a long non-coding RNA of Cotesia glomerata, 387 nucleotides long. RefSeq lists it as uncharacterized. The transcript is spliced from 3 exons. The record is from RefSeq and is a predicted model, not a curated record. NCBI's taxonomy places the organism in Eukaryota, Metazoa, Arthropoda, Insecta, Hymenoptera, Braconidae.
AUUUACCAACAUCAAAAUUCCUCGUGAAAUGUUUUCAUCAGAAAAUGUGAUAGAAAAUGGAAUCAUGCCUGUGGACACUUGUAGGUCCUUAAAUUAUUCCUAAAUAAUAUUGAUUGGCACUGGUGACUGUCAUUAAAAUAUUGCCGUUUGAUCAUGAUAAUUUAACACAAAAUAAUAUGAUUCCACAGGAUUAUUUAAAAAAUGGAGUAGACAACGUAAACGUUUAAAUGGCUCAAGAUGUUUAUCUUAUUAUUCAACAAGAGGCUGGAAACGAUUGGACCAAAAUCGUGUCAGAAACUAUUAAUGAAGUUUACGGAUCUGAAAUAAAAAACUUCUCUGCUCGUGGACGAUAUUCAACUAGUCGGCCAAAAAUUAAUGCCAAGUUAU